UUGUAUGAUGAAUAAGAGCUUUGCUCGAUUUAACCCAGCUCGUCGAAUGCCUCAAUUUUAAUUCCAACGUAGAGGCAGUAUGAGAACAAACCCUAUCUGAUACC
This is a small nucleolar RNA of Aspergillus nidulans FGSC A4, 104 nucleotides long. It matches the Rfam family "A. fumigatus snoRNA Afu_304". The record is from Rfam. NCBI's taxonomy places the organism in Eukaryota, Fungi, Ascomycota, Eurotiomycetes, Eurotiales, Aspergillaceae.